Molecule: ribosomal RNA, 253 nt
Filed under: uncultured bacterium
Lineage: Bacteria
Description: partial 16S ribosomal RNA
Rfam family: Bacterial small subunit ribosomal RNA
Source: RNAcentral
UACGAAGGACCCGAGCGUUAUCCGGAUUUAUUGGGUUUAAAGGGUGCGUAGGCGGACUAAUAAGUCAGUGGUGAAAGCCCAUCGCUUAACGGUGGAACUGCCAUUGAUACUGCUAGUCUUGAGUAUGGUUGAGGUGGGCGGAAUGUGUCAUGUAGCGGUGAAAUGCUUAGAUAUGACCCAGAACACCAAUUGCGAAGGCAGCUCGCUAAGCCAUAACUGACGCUGAGGCACGAAAGCGUGGGGAGCGAACAGG